Molecule: long non-coding RNA, 1024 nt
Filed under: Marmota monax (woodchuck)
Lineage: Eukaryota; Metazoa; Chordata; Mammalia; Rodentia; Sciuridae
Source: RNAcentral
CUGAAAUAAUUUGCCAGCAUAAAAAUUCUGGAGGAAAAACUCAUCUGUUCAACCUGAAGACUGUGUUUUCGGACCCUGAUGGUACAUUAGCAUCUUCUGAAGUAACAUAAACUAUCCCAAAGCUACUGUCAGAGAAGGAAGCCCUACAGCUAUUUGAAGAAAUGAGGAUAAGAAUUUUUAUUCUCUAUAGAAUGAUGCAAAAUCGUGUUUGCUCUUGUGAAUAAAACUCAAAGCAUAUUUGUAAAGUAGAUUUUACAGGGUGAUUCUAGAUGUCACUUAAGAAAGCACUUUAGCUUAGAUGGUUUUUGGACAACAAAAGUGAGAAUCUGAAAAAAAUCACACUUUUUAUUAGGUUGUACAGAGUACACAAAAAUAAAACUAAAGAAUCAAGUGGCAUAUUUUUUCUAAACAACAUUGUCUAGGUUGGUUGAUUUUUAAUCUUGCCUCUUUUUAUUUCUUAGUUCUUAGUGUGUAUGUGAUGAUUAUGGUUCUGAAACUGUUAUGUUUGUAGAAUUGAAUUGCUCCUUUUACUGUGUGCCAUUUCUGGUAGAGACACAAUCUUCUUUGAGGCCAGGUGAUUCUGUGACUCAACCCAAGAUAUUUAAGCCAAGAGAAAUAAUUUGACCACUAACCCACAUGUUAUGAAUAUUCAAAUCAUUUUAAGUAAAUAAGUGUUAAUUUAAACUAAAUAGUUUUAUUUAAAUAUACAGUUCCUACUUCUAUGGACUUAAUUCCUAGGAUUACCAAAAAAUAAAAAAUAAAAAUCAAAUGAUUAAAAAAAUGCCAGAAUGUUUUAUUAAAUAAUUAAGUUCUUUGUAAGUUCAGUGUAGGAAGAAAUUUUGUGAGACAUCUAUUUUCUGCAAACACCACAAUAGAUUGAAUAUUAAGUACAUUAGAAAAAUUUAGUAGAGAUAAUGAAAGAGGUCAGGUGUUAACUCAAGAUAGGCUUUUGUAGGCAGAGAGGAAGUAAAUCUCUUGAGAAGAACAAAAUGACAGUGAUCAAAGAUGUAGAGCUUGAUCAGAA